GGGUAUAGCUCAGUGGUAGAGUGUGUGCUUAGCAUGCACGAGGUCCUGGGUUCAACCCCCAGCCCA
RNAcentral lists this transfer RNA (66 nucleotides) under Camelus dromedarius (Arabian camel). It matches the Rfam family "tRNA". From Rfam's summary of the family: Transfer RNA (tRNA) molecules are approximately 80 nucleotides in length. Their secondary structure includes four short double-helical elements and three loops (D, anti-codon, and T loops). Further hydrogen bonds mediate the characteristic L-shaped molecular structure. tRNAs have two regions of fundamental functional importance: the anti-codon, which is responsible for specific mRNA codon recognition, and the 3' end, to which the tRNAs corresponding amino acid is attached (by aminoacyl-tRNA synthetases). tRNAs cope with the degeneracy of the genetic code in two manners: having more than one tRNA (with a specific anti-codon) for a particular amino acid; and 'wobble' base-pairing, i.e. permitting non-standard base-pairing at the 3rd anti-codon position. RNAcentral also lists the same sequence under 1 other name. The record is from Rfam by way of RNAcentral. Lineage: Eukaryota; Metazoa; Chordata; Mammalia; Artiodactyla; Camelidae.